This 254-nucleotide ribosomal RNA is filed under the name uncultured bacterium. RNAcentral describes it as "partial 16S ribosomal RNA". It matches the Rfam family "Bacterial small subunit ribosomal RNA", at positions 524 to 776 of the family's 1533-position model. The record is from RNAcentral.
GACGUAGGGCGCGAGCGUUGUCCGGAUUUAUUGGGCGUAAAGAGCUCGUAGGCGGCUUGUCGCGUCGACUGUGAAAACCCGCAGCUCAACUGUGGGCUUGCAGCCGAUACGGGCAGGCUAGAGUUCGGUAGGGGAGACUGGAAUUCCUGGUGUAGCGGUGAAAUGCGCAGAUAUCAGGAGGAACACCAGUGGCGAAGGCGGCUUCCUGGACCGGUUCUGACACUGAGGAGCGAAAGCGCUGGGGAGCGAUCCGG